AGUGAACGCUGGCGGUAGGCCUAACACAUGCAAGUCGAACGGCAGCACAGUAAGAGCUUGCUCUUACGGGUGGCGAGUGGCGGACGGGUGAGGAAUACAUGGAAUCUACUUUUUCGGGGGGGAUAACGUAGGGAAACUUACGCUAAUACCGCAUACGACCUACGGGUGAAAGGAAGGGAUCUUCGGAACUUGCGCGAUUGAAUGAGCCGAUGUCGGAUUAGCUAGUUGGCGGGGUAAAGGCCCACCAAGGCGACGAUCCGUAGCUGGUCUGAGAGGAUGAUCAGCCACACUGGAACUGAGACACGGUCCAGACUCCUACGGGAGGCAGCAGUGGGGAAUAUUGGACAAUGGGCGCAAGCCUGAUCCAGCCAUACCGCGUGGGUGAAGAAGGCCUUCGGGUUGUAAAGCCCUUUUGUUGGGAAAGAAAAGCAGCAGGUUAAUACCCCGCUGUUCUGACGGUACCCAAAGAAUAAGCACCGGCUAACUUCGUG
This 491-nucleotide ribosomal RNA is filed under the name uncultured bacterium. RNAcentral's name for it is "partial 16S ribosomal RNA". It matches the Rfam family "Bacterial small subunit ribosomal RNA", at positions 29 to 507 of the family's 1533-position model. The record is from RNAcentral.